This 402-nucleotide ribosomal RNA is filed under the name uncultured bacterium. RNAcentral's name for it is "bacterial SSU rRNA". It matches the Rfam family "Bacterial small subunit ribosomal RNA", at positions 355 to 774 of the family's 1533-position model. The record is from RNAcentral.
UCGGGAAUUUUGGGCAAUGGGCGGAAGCCUGACCCAGCAACGCCGCGUGAGGGAUGAAGUAUUUCGGUAUGUAAACCUCGAAAGAAUGGGAAGAAUAAAUGACGGUACCAUUUAUAAGCUCCGGCUAACUACGUGCCAGCAGCCGCGGUAAUACGUAGGGAGCAAGCGUUGUUCGGAUUUACUGGGCGUAAAGGGCGCGUAGGCGGCGCGGUAAGUCACUUGUGAAAUCUCUGAGCUUAACUCAGAACGGCCAAGUGAUACUGCUGUACUAGAGUGCGGAAGAGGCAACCGGAAUUCUUGGUGUAGCUGUGAAAUGCGUAGAUAUCAAGAGGAACACCAGAGGCGAAGGCGGGUUGCUGGGCCGACACUGACGCUGAUGCGCGAAAGCCAGGGGAGCAAACG